UUGUUGGGUCUAAAACAUCCGUAGCUUGCUUUUUAAGUCCCAUGUGAAAUCUGGCCUCUUAAGGGUCGGGCGAGCAUGAGAUACUGUUAAGCUAGAGACCGGGAGACGUAAGAAGUACGGACGGGGUAGCGGUAAAAUGUGUUGAUCCCGUUUGGACUAACAACAGCGAAGGCAUCUUACGAGAACGGAUCUGACAGUGAGGGAUGAAGGCUAGGGGCGCAAAGUGGAUUAGAUACCCAUGUAGUCCUAGCAGUAAACACUGCACACUAAACAUUGGGGCCUCUUCGAGAGGUUUCAGUGCUGUAGAGAAGUCGGAGAGUGUGCUACCUGGGAAGUAUAGUCGCAAGGCCGAAACUUAAAGGAAUAGGCGGGGGAGUACUACAACGAGUGACGCGUGCGGUUCAAUUAGAUUCUACACCGUGAACCUCACCAGGAUCGACAGCAGAAUGAAGGUCAGUCUGAAGGGCUUACCUGACACGCUGCGAGGAGAUGCAUGGCCGACGUCAGCCUGUGCCGUGAGGUGACCAGUUAAAUCUGGUAACAGGCGAGACCCAUAU
This 557-nucleotide ribosomal RNA is filed under the name uncultured euryarchaeote. Its description in RNAcentral is "bacterial SSU rRNA". It matches the Rfam family "Archaeal small subunit ribosomal RNA", at positions 501 to 1057 of the family's 1478-position model. The record is from RNAcentral. Lineage: Archaea; Methanobacteriati; Methanobacteriota.